GAACAUUUGGGAGAAUGACUCUGGGAGGAAGCAGGGAGGUGAAAAAGACAAACCCACGAGCAUGGCCAGGUACCGAGAAUGACCCCAAACUGCAGCCACCGUGGGAGAGGGGCGAGGAGGCAGGAUGCCGCAAGCAGUGCACAGAAUGAGUCGUUGACGUGUCUCAGCCCCAGGGGACAAAUUCCUUUUCGGAAAUACACGACUACAGCCAUUACGGAAGGAAGCCAGGACUGACUUACGAUGGCGUCUUUGACGAUCUGCUUGGCCACUUGCUCCGGCGUGCAGAUGGACGUGGUCUCUGAAAUAAGGCGGGUUUCCAAAGGCUGCGGCGGAGAAGGGACAUAUCAACACCAUUACACUGGGAAAAAAAAUCAAUAAAAUUCUCACAGCCCUCCCC
Phyllostomus hastatus (greater spear-nosed bat) is the source of this 397-nucleotide long non-coding RNA. RefSeq lists it as uncharacterized. NCBI's taxonomy places the organism in Eukaryota, Metazoa, Chordata, Mammalia, Chiroptera, Phyllostomidae. The transcript is spliced from 2 exons. The record is from RefSeq and is a predicted model, not a curated record.